GGGCCCGCACAAGCGGUGGAGCAUGUGGUUUAAUUCGAUGCAACGCGAAGAACCUUACCUGGUCUUGACAUAUCUAGAAUCCUGCAGAGAUGCGGGAGUGCCUUCGGGAAUUAGAAUACAGGUGCUGCAUGGCUGUCGUCAGCUCGUGUCGUGAGAUGUUGGGUUAAGUCCCGCAACGAGCGCAACCCUUGUCCUUAGUUACCAGCGGGUUAAGCCGGGAACUCUAAGGAUACUGCCAGUGACAAACUGGAGGAAGGCGGGGACGACGUCAAGUCAUCAUGGCCCUUACGACCAGGGCUACACACGUGCUACAAUGGUAGGUACAGAGGGCAGCUACACAGCGAUGUGAUGCGAAUCUUUUAAAGCCUAUCGUAGUCCAGAUUGGAGUCUGCAACUCGACUCCAUGAAGUAGGAAUCGCUAGUAAUCG
This 428-nucleotide ribosomal RNA is filed under the name uncultured bacterium. RNAcentral's name for it is "bacterial SSU rRNA". It matches the Rfam family "Bacterial small subunit ribosomal RNA", at positions 917 to 1344 of the family's 1533-position model. The record is from RNAcentral.